Molecule: non-coding RNA, 294 nt
Organism: Paramuricea clavata
Lineage: Eukaryota; Metazoa; Cnidaria; Anthozoa; Malacalcyonacea; Plexauridae
Source: the annotation of a GenBank genome assembly
CCCAAUUUGUGCAACUUUCUGUAUUCCCCGGCUUUCUCCACAUGCAAAAUUCCCCAGGCCAGCAAAAGAACAGUUCUUUUCCAUGACUCAAACAUGCACAAAGUAAAAAUAGGAGCUGCCAUAAAAAAUAACUGGCAAGCUAGUGUUGCAGUUCAGCAUGAGCUCCACCUUUGAAUUUACUAUAUGAGUAAAUUCUUAAACACGUCCAAAAUUAUCAUUAUGAUAAAUUCGCAGCACAUUUUGAAUUUAUCAUAAUAAUAAAUUCGAGGCACUAACCCCUAACCACUAAUCCCC